AACGCUGAAGGAGGAGCUUGCUUCUCUGGAUGAGUGCGAACGGGGUGAGUACGCGUAGGUAACCUGCCUGGUAGUGGGGGAUAACUAUUGGAAACGAUAGCUAAUACCGCAUAAUAGCAGUUGUUGCAUGAUAACUGUUUGAAAGGUGCAAUUGCACCGCUACCAGAUGGACCUGCGUUGUAUUAGCUAGUUGGUGGGGUAACGGCUCACCAAGGCGACGAUACAUAGCCGACCUGAGAGGGUGAUCGGCCACACUGGGACUGAGACACGGCCCAGACUCCUACGGGAGGCAGCAGUAGGGAAUCUUCGGCAAUGGACGGAAGUCUGACCGAGCAACGCCGCGUGAGUGAAGAAGGUUUUCGGAUCGUAAAGCUCUGUUGUAAGAGAAGAACGAGUGUGAGAGUGGAAAGUUCACACUGUGACGGUAUCUUACCAGAAAGGGACGGCUAACUACGUGCCAGCAGCCGCGGUAAUACGUAGGUCCCGAGCGUUGUCCGGAUUUAUUGGGCGUAAAGCGAGCGCAGGCGGUUAGAUAAGUCUGAAGUUAAAGGCUGUGGCUUAACCAUAGUACGCUUUGGAAACUGUUUAACUUGAGUGCAAGAGGGGAGAGUGGAAUUCCAUGUGUAGCGGUGAAAUGCGUAGAUAUAUGGAG
This 652-nucleotide ribosomal RNA is filed under the name uncultured Bacilli bacterium. RNAcentral describes it as "bacterial SSU rRNA". It matches the Rfam family "Bacterial small subunit ribosomal RNA", at positions 64 to 703 of the family's 1533-position model. The record is from RNAcentral. Lineage: Bacteria; Bacillati; Bacillota; Bacilli.